Long non-coding RNA from Melopsittacus undulatus (budgerigar), 1580 nucleotides. RefSeq lists it as uncharacterized. The transcript is spliced from 5 exons. Lineage: Eukaryota; Metazoa; Chordata; Aves; Psittaciformes; Psittaculidae. The record is from RefSeq and is a predicted model, not a curated record.
GCCGGCGCUUGGAGCCGCCUCCGAGAGCCGCAGGUUACACAGAGACCCUGUGAGGGGGCAGCGGCUCUGGGGUUGCCUCAGGCUACAAAUGCAACCAUUACCGCAAGCGAAUCCAUUCACCGCAGCGAAUCCAGAGCGUGCUGAGGCUCCAGACUGGGACUGAGGCAUCUGUACUGGGAGCGCACUGGUCCAUACUGGUUCCCCACCAUGGCUCUGCCGCCCGCCCUGGCCACAGCCUGGUCGCUGCUGCUGCUGCUGCUCCUGGAUGCGGUGCUGGUGAGCGGGUGGCUGUGCCACAGCUCUUGGCCUUGGUGUGGGUCCAGUGGUGCCUGUUGGGUGCUGCCUGCGUGGCCCUGGCGUUGGCCGUGUCGGCACUCGGUGAAGCAGCAGCACAAAGAAGAGGGGCAGCAGCAAGAAGAAGCCUCCGGUUGCAGCUCAUCCAGCCCAUGCAGGAGUUAAGUAGGAAGCUCUGCAGGGAGGAGAGGAAGAGACACCCAGGGCUACCUCCCUGUGCCCACAGAGCUCUGGGGGGGGGCUCGGUAUCCCCCUGCAUCCCAUGGAGGCUCCAUGCAGGAGCUGGGGCCACCCCAUCCGUACCCCCUGGUGCCAGCUCGUACCUGGUGCUGAGCUGGCAGAGCCCAUGGCCAUGCCUGCAAGAGAAAGAGCCGUGAGCAGCCAAGACCCCUCCUUUUCCAUCUGUUCCUCCUAUGGGGGCUGAGGAUUGGGAAGCCGGAGGCACGGGACCAGCACGGUGCUGGAUGUGCCCCCGGUGCUCACCUGGGGUCGCGCUGUUGCCAUCCCUGUUCUUCCCUGCAGAGAGGCAGAGCCAUCAGCAGCCCUAUGGGGCUGGUCAGGGCUCCCAUUCAGCAGCUCCUGCCCUGCCUCCCUCCCUGCAUGCGGGGCCUUACCCGCUCUGAGCUUCCAGAGGAGCACCCCGAUGAUGGUGAUGGCCACGAGCACCACGGCAGCCACCGGCAGCAGGAUGCUGAGCAGGUCAGAGUGCGGCUCUGCAGGAAGAGCAGGAGGAUGAGGAGCUGGCAAGGGGGAACCCCCCCCACCGUGCGCGGCCCCCCCAGGGCUCACCCAGAGCAUAGAGGCCGGGUUGGAGGAGGCUGGCGUGUUCCACCCGGCACCGGAACCUGUCCUUGUCGCCGGGGUGGGCCUCGAUGGAGGCCCACGUGUAGUAGGUGCCGUCGCUGUUGGGGGCGAGGCCGCCCCAUUGGGUGUCCUGGUCCCGCACCUCGCCGUCCUUGAGCCAGCUGAGCACGAUGGGCCGCGGGUAGAAGCCGUGAGCGCGGCAGGUCAAGCUCCAGCCGCCCAUAGCUCAAGUAUUUCUUCAGCCACUCCACACAGCUGUUCUCCAGGUAGUUGUUCCAGUCCUCAUCUCCCCUCCCAUCCUGUUCCCACUUCCUCUUGGCGAUCUCUGCCUCUGGAACCGCUGGGAUGAAGGUCAUGGUGUCCUUGUCGAAGGCAAUGAAGUCCUUCCCAUCAUAGGCGACCUUAGUGUACCCCUUGGUGCUCCCAUCGUCCAGGAGGUCACAGCCAGACAUGCACUGUAGUGUGUGAUCCCCUGCACCAAC